Molecule: ribosomal RNA, 253 nt
Filed under: uncultured bacterium
Lineage: Bacteria
Description: partial 16S ribosomal RNA
Rfam family: Bacterial small subunit ribosomal RNA
Source: RNAcentral
UACGGAGGGUGCAAGCGUUAUCCGGAUUCACUGGGUUUAAAGGGUGCGUAGGUGGGCUGGUAAGUCAGUGGUGAAAUCCCCGAGCUUAACUUGGGAACUGCCAUUGAUACUAUCAGUCUUGAAUACCGUGGAGGUCAGCGGAAUAUGUCAUGUAGCGGUGAAAUGCUUAGAUAUGACAUAGAACACCAAUUGCGAAGGCAGCGGGCUACACGAAUAUUGACACUGAGGCACGAAAGCGUGGGGAUCAAACAGG